CGGAAUCACUGGGCGUAAAGGGCGCGUAGGCGGCCGAUUAAGUCGGGGGUGAAGGCCUGUGGCUCAACCACAGAAUUGCCUUCGAUACUGGUUGGCUUGAGACCGGAAGAGGACAGCGGAACUGCGAGUGUAGAGGUGAAAUUCGUAGAUAUUCGCAAGAACACCAGCGGCGAAGGCGGCUGUCUGGUCCGGUUCUGACGCUGAGGCGCGAAGGCGUGGGGAGCAAACAGGAUUAGAUACCCUGGUAGUUCACGCCGUAAACGAUGAAUGCCAGCCGUUGGCCUGCUUGCAGGUCAGUGGCGCCGCUAACGCAUUAAGCAUUCCGCCUGGGGAG
Molecule: ribosomal RNA, 334 nt
Filed under: uncultured Methylobacterium sp.
Lineage: Bacteria; Pseudomonadati; Pseudomonadota; Alphaproteobacteria; Hyphomicrobiales; Methylobacteriaceae
Description: bacterial SSU rRNA
Rfam family: Bacterial small subunit ribosomal RNA
Source: RNAcentral